GAGUUUGAUCCUGGCUCAGAUUGAACGCUGGCGGCAGGCUUAACACAUGCAAGUCGAGCGGAGAUGAGGUGCUUGCACCUUAUCUUAGCGGCGGACGGGUGAGUAAUGCUUAGGAAUCUGCCUAUUAGUGGGGGACAACAUUCCGAAAGGGAUGCUAAUACCGCAUACGUCCUACGGGAGAAAGCAGGGGAUCUUCGGACCUUGCGCUAAUAGAUGAGCCUAAGUCGGAUUAGCUAGUUGGUGGGGUAAAGGCCUACCAAGGCGACGAUCUGUAGCGGGUCUGAGAGGAUGAUCCGCCACACUGGGACUGAGACACGGCCCAGACUCCUACGGGAGGCAGCAGUGGGGAAUAUUGGACAAUGGGGGGAACCCUGAUCCAGCCAUGCCGCGUGUGUGAAGAAGGCCUUAUGGUUGUAAAGCACUUUAAGCGAGGAGGAGGCUACUGAGACUAAUACUCUUGGAUAGUGGACGUUACUCGCAGAAUAAGCACGGCUAACUCUGUGCCA
This 506-nucleotide ribosomal RNA is filed under the name uncultured microorganism. RNAcentral's name for it is "bacterial SSU rRNA". It matches the Rfam family "Bacterial small subunit ribosomal RNA", at positions 9 to 510 of the family's 1533-position model. The record is from RNAcentral.